UGGGGAAUUUUGGACAAUGGGCGCAAGCCUGAUCCAGCCAUGCCGCGUGAGUGAAGAAGGCCUUCGGGUUGUAAAGCUCUUUCGGCGGGGAAGAAAUUGCGUGGGUUAAUACCCUGCGUAGAUGACGGUACCCGCAUAAGAAGCACCGGCUAACUACGUGCCAGCAGCCGCGGUAAUACGUAGGGUGCGAGCGUUAAUCGGAAUUACUGGGCGUAAAGCGUGCGCAGGCGGUUAUAUAAGUCAGAUGUGAAAUCCCCGGGCUCAACCUGGGAACUGCAUUUGAGACUGUAUGACUAGAGUGUGGCAGAGGGGGGUGGAAUUCCACGUGUAGCAGUGAAAUGCGUAGAGAUGUGGAGGAACACCGAUGGCGAAGGCAGCCCCCUGGGCCAAUACUGACGCUCAUGCACGAAAGCGUGGGGAGCAAACA
Molecule: ribosomal RNA, 427 nt
Filed under: uncultured prokaryote
Description: bacterial SSU rRNA
Rfam family: Bacterial small subunit ribosomal RNA
Source: RNAcentral